AACAGAAAGUUAAGUUGUUCUUUUGUACAGAAUCCAUUUUGAGACGACAGAGCAGAAGACGCUAUAUGGAGAUUACUGACAAAUAAGAUCCAUUUUGAGACGACAGAGCAGAAGACGCUAUAUGGAGAUUACUGACAAAUAAGGGUCAGUUCUCUAAAAUGAGUCUCUCUGGGGAGAGAGAGGAGGGGGGCCCUGCCUCUAAAAUGAGUCUCUCUGGCGAGAGGAAGGAGGGGGGCCCUGCCUCUAAAAUGAGUCUCUCUGGGGAGAGAGAGGAGGGGGGCCCUGCCUCUAAAAUGAGUCUCUCUGGCGAGAGAGAGAAGGGGGGCCCUGCCUCCAAAAUGCAUCUCUCUGGCGGACAUAACACCAAAGCUAAGAGACCAAUCAAGCAGGAGAGACCAGCCUCCCCUGUUCCCAGCUGUGUGUCCAUGAAGAGUGACAAGUCUAUGAAUCAUCCUAUACACUUUAGAGAGGGAGACUUUUCUACUGAACAAAGAAACCAACAGGAGAGAUCAGAGUCAGAGAUUCUCAGUGGUCAGUCUUCCCAGAGUCAUCAAACAGACCUGGACUCUAUAUUCAGUGUAUGUGAUCCUGUUAUGUACAUUUGUUUUUGUUUUCCUCAAGUAAUGUUUCUUUCAAUUAUUAAUUCAUGUGUUAAUGAGAAAGCAUUUCUUCUCUUGCUUAACUUAUUUACUUGAUUUAUUUCAGUUGCUUGAAGAGAAAAUUAUAACAUUUGUGAAGAACGAGCUGAAGAUGUUCAAGAGGAUUCUUGG
Non-coding RNA from Salmo salar (Atlantic salmon), 770 nucleotides. Lineage: Eukaryota; Metazoa; Chordata; Actinopteri; Salmoniformes; Salmonidae. The record is from RefSeq and is a predicted model, not a curated record.